CCUACGGGAGGCAGCAGUGAGGAAUAUUGGUCAAUGGGAGAGAUCCUGAACCAGCCAAGCCGCGUGAGGGAAGACGGCCCUAUGGGUUGUAAACCUCUUUUGUCGGAGAACAAAACCCGGGACGUGUCCCGGACUGCGUGUAUCCGAAGAAAAAGCAUCGGCUAACUCCGUGCCAGCAGCCGCGGUAAUCCGGAGGAUGCGAGCGUUAUCCGGAUUUAUUGGGUUUAAAGGGUGCGUAGGCGGUCCGUUAAGCAAGCGGUAAAAGUGCGGGGCUCAACCCCGUCGAGCCGUUGAAACUGGCAGACUUGAGUGGGCGAGAGGUACGCGGAAUGCGCGGUGUAGCGGUGAAAUGCAUAGAUAUCGCGCAGAACUCCGAUUGCGAAGGCAGCGUACCGGCGCCAGACUGACGCUGAGGCACGAAAGCGUGGGGAUCGAACAGGAUUAGAUACCCUUGUAGUC
This 459-nucleotide ribosomal RNA is filed under the name uncultured bacterium. RNAcentral describes it as "partial 16S ribosomal RNA". It matches the Rfam family "Bacterial small subunit ribosomal RNA", at positions 338 to 795 of the family's 1533-position model. The record is from RNAcentral.